RNAcentral lists this long non-coding RNA (2709 nucleotides) under Triticum aestivum (bread wheat). Its description in RNAcentral is "long non-coding RNA (TAES_LNC018856)". The record is from RNAcentral. Lineage: Eukaryota; Viridiplantae; Streptophyta; Magnoliopsida; Poales; Poaceae.
GCUGAUUCCCCGGGUGAAGAUAGCACGGGCCAGAUCGAACCGGAGAAAUCCACAGCGACAGGGGAGGUAUCCAUCCCCGACCCGCGUCGUUUCCCUGGGAAAACGCUCCACGCCUCUAGGGGUCGGGGAGAAAAGCCACGGCUCGAGACCGCGAGCGCGACCAAGAUCCACCGCUUCGCUUCCGAUCUUCUCCGCCGGCGACUGGAGAGACGGCCCGGCCCCUCUCCCUCCGGUGCUCCGCCACCACGCUCCGUCUCUCCAAUGACCGCGACGUCUGUUGUCCUUACGCUGCUCCUUCCCCGGAUCUCCCCUCCGCCUCGAAUUUCCUGUCCCCUCCGGCGACGGCGACGGCGACGGUUCCGCGGUCAAAUUCCACUUACUUCGACCUAAGGUUAGCCCCCCUCCUCUUCCACCUCAUUUUUUUUCACCCGUGGAUGCACUCAACGUCCAUGCACUGAUGCUUGAAUGUACAGAUUCAAGAACCUGACCACUUCUCUUCUUCUUUUAACUAAUUUUACAGGCCGGGUGCAAAAUUUACUCACAGGUUAUACAUCUCAUACAUUCCUGUGUUAUGCCUUUCUUCUGAAAUUAAAAAACAAUAGUGGGAGAGAGAAAUUACUGUACUGGUUAAGACAACUGAUUUUCAUACAAUGGCAGCAGUGCACAAACAGUGUCAGUGGUAUGUACUCUACUUAUUUCAGAGAUGAUUGGAGUCCGCUCAGCAGCUGCCAUCUAAUCAAAUCACAAUUCAGACUAGUAGGCAAACAUAUUGGAGAGCUAGUGUCAGAUCAAUUCAUUAGGAGCAUGUAUGGACACAAUUAUCAGUAUCAUAAUGCAUGGUUGUAUCACAAGUAGUAGACUAUAAUCAUGCAUUUCACUUGCAUGCAGACAAAGCACUCCACACCUAGCAUUUCAAAAAGUUUAAAUUCAUAUACUGAUCUGUAUAUAAUUGCCUAGAAUCUGCAUCAUGGUUUGCUCUUUCAACUCUUGAUUCUUGAACUACUGGAUCUUGCAUCUGUGUUCUAGUAGAGUAUAAAAUCCAAAUUCUUAUGACUAGAACUAUGAAUGAUUGUUUUAAUGUUGCUCCCUGUUAAUACCAGAGGAGAAUAAUAUGUCACUGAAUCUGUUGCACUGAUAAUCUAAGCUCAAAACAGUAAUCAUUAUUGUUUCUUUCUUUAGCAUAUACAUAUGGAAUUUGUUGCCCUGACAUUAUAGUUUAAGCUCAAAAAUAUAGAUGAUGUGCAUAAUUUAUUUUUCGUUGGCAAACAUGGAAUGAUUGUCCAAAUUAAAAAUAACAUUGUUGGAUAAUGAUUUGUGGUUUGUCUGAAUCUGAUAGGUGACGAUAUGUCAUUCUUCUGUUGCAAGAUAGUCUUGUCCUUGCAAAGGAACGAACUGCUUCUAGACUAUGUAAUCCUGUUUGGAGUGAAGGUAUUUUCCCUCAUUACACUUAGGACAAGUGAACCUUCAAGUUUAAUCUUCCAAGGCUUGUUUUCUAGCCCAAGUGUUUUUUAAGGCUUAGGCAGAGUAGGGCUCUUGGUUGAACUGAAAUUUCUACUACUGGUGGAAGUCAUUAGAUUUGAGCAGAAGUUGGUUCUUGGUUGAAACUAAUCUGGAGCUUUGCAGUUUUUUAUAGCCGGCUGGUGGAGGCAAAGUCUCAUGCCUGAGCAGUUACUACUUGUUGCUAAUUCCAUUAUUGUAUGAUAUGCUGGUGCAGGAUCUGUGACUGUUGAAUUGCUGCACAUAUUACACAUACUUUUUUCUUUGCCUUUAUUUUUAUAAAGUAUAUACCUUUUACUUUCUGCAAUAAAGAAAACUACAUUGCGUAUAGUGCGAAAAUGUCUGCCCAAUAAUGCUUUAUUUGUUAACUUACAUUAAUCUAUUCACAAUUCUUAUCUGAAAAUGAUAAUUGAACUGGUAGGUGGAUGAGUGAUAGGAUAAAUUAAUUGUGUUUUUCUAUGCUCGAUCAACCUUCUACAGUUCUAUGUGUGCCUUUCUUUAAUUACAUCCAGUAGAGAAGGGGCCAGAUAUGAUAAACCAUGGUCAUGUACUCAAGUUCUCAAAUGCAACAUAGAAUCAACAUAUUUGUCUUCCGAAUAAAUUGUAAGAUAUGGGUAAGAAGUUCUCGCACGAGUACUACUCAGAAUGGUGAGCCUUUUUUUCACUAGUCUUGCCAUCUGUUGCUGAUCUACUUAUGCUUGAGAACACUGCAAUGAAACCGUGUCGUACUAGUAUUGAAAGAUUUACUAAACUGUUGUAUUUUGAAACAGUUGCUGACUUCCAAAAAAAAAUUCUUCUAAUUCAGUCAACAUCGAGCUGCUGUUCUCAGCUGAUGUGGAGUAGAGGAAGACGAGAUAUCCCGAACAUUGCCUUACAAUUUGCACCUUCAGAAGUGUGGUUGUCCAUGGCAUGGAGUUUUGGUAAUUUAGAACUUUUUGUACCGGUGUAAAGGUCCAGGACAAGCUAGUAGCUAAAAUCUAUUUGUUCCUAUGGGCAUUGGCUUCAUUGUUCUAAAACUCAGAACCUGUUGAACAAUGAUGUUAUUUGUAAUGGCGGCAUGAGAGGAGGAAGAUUUGGUUGCUUGUUCUGUAUAGCUUCCUAUAAGCAAUGCACCUCUAGAUGAUUUUGUCAAAAGCGUGUCGAGUUGAUAUUCUCAAUAUAUUAUUAUUUAUCAGUUUGCAAGUUCAUUAAUGUCCUCUGAUUAUUUCCAAA